RNAcentral lists this ribosomal RNA (253 nucleotides) under uncultured prokaryote. RNAcentral describes it as "partial 16S ribosomal RNA". It matches the Rfam family "Bacterial small subunit ribosomal RNA", at positions 524 to 776 of the family's 1533-position model. The record is from RNAcentral.
UACAGAGGGUGCGAGCGUUGUUCGGAAUUAUUGGGCGUAAAGGGCGCGCAGGCGGCCCUUGAAGUCAGGCGUGAAAGCCCUGGGCUCAACCUGGGAGGUGCGCUUGAUACUCGAGGGCUGGAGUACGGGAGAGGAGAGUGGAAUUCCCAGUGUAGAGGUGAAAUUCGUAGAUAUCGGGAGGAACACCUGUGGCGAAAGCGGCUCACUGGACCACAACUGACGCUGAGGCGCGAAAGCUAGGGGAGCAAACAGG